UACGGAGGGGGCGAGCGUUGUCCGGAGUUACUGGGCGUAAAGCGCGUGUAGGCGGGUUGUCAAGUCCGCUGUGAAAGCCCGAGGCUCAACCUCGGAGGGUCUGUGGAUACUGACAGUCUUGAAGGUGCUAGGGGGAGAUGGAAUUACCGGUGUAGCGGUGAAAUGCGUAGAGAUCGGUAGGAACACCAGUGGCGAAGGCGGUCUCCUGGGGCAUUCUUGACGCUGAGACGCGAAAGCUGGGGGAGCAAACGGG
This 253-nucleotide ribosomal RNA is filed under the name uncultured bacterium. Its description in RNAcentral is "partial 16S ribosomal RNA". It matches the Rfam family "Bacterial small subunit ribosomal RNA", at positions 524 to 776 of the family's 1533-position model. The record is from RNAcentral.